RNAcentral lists this transfer RNA (68 nucleotides) under Marmota monax (woodchuck). RNAcentral describes it as "tRNA.Thr". Lineage: Eukaryota; Metazoa; Chordata; Mammalia; Rodentia; Sciuridae. The record is from RNAcentral.
GUGGUGGCUCAGUGGUAGAGCGAGUACCUAGUAUGUGUGAGGCCCUGGGUUCAAUCUUCAGCACCACA